ACUUGUCCAUAUGCAUUGCCCUUGGUAUACUCAGUAACAUCAUAGUUAUAGGUGAGCUCCAGCACAGUUGUCUCAUUCUCUUCAGCAUAACCCAUCAUGGCCAAGGUGUACUGUCAUAUUUCAUGAAACAUUAUGAGAGUGGAAUAAUCUUAAAACACUCAGGGAACCAACAUGUGGUCCAAUGCAAUACCAUAUGCUUAGGUAGAGCAGGGAUGACCAACCUUGUACUCGGGCUUAUCCACUUUCCUUAACAGUUUCAUGCCCAAUGCCUGCACAAGGAUAAGGUAAAUCCCUGAAACUACUAUUGUAGCAAAAUCACAGUCACAGUAAAACUCUUUGGAACAAACAACACCAAGCGAAGUCUUUUUUCCCCACUAUUUGCAUAACCAUCAGACCCAUUGAACUCAAUUUCUACCUCACAACAUCAGUUCUCACAUGUGAACCUCACACUGACAAAGUAGCUGCUAGCUGCAUCUUAACUGGAAACAGUAUCAUCGGAAAACACAUUAGGAGAAGAAUCUCAUCAAUAUGCAGAACAAGAAAACAUACUUUCUCAUAAAACUUAAUUGCGCGCUCCAAAUCACCAACUCGAAGCAUCACUUGGCAAAGUGGUUCUGGAGUUGCACCUCUUUGAAUAAGCUCAAAGAUAUAACCAUCCGGGUCCUUCACAAAAGCAAUGACAGUCGUUCCACCUUUCACUGGACCAGGCUCCCUUGUGACCGUGCCACCCUUGGCCUUGAUUUCUUCAACCAUCUUGUACACCUGCAAAGUCAAAGAAAUCCAAAAUGGAUGACCAAUGAAGCAGGCAUUAUACUUUGAAAUGUUGUUAAACAGAGCAGAGACACUCACAUCUUGAGUUGCAAUGGCAAAAUGUCCAAAGCCAGUUCCAAUAUCAUAAGAGCUCACUCCAUAAUCUGAAACAGAAGAAAAGCAAAGUUUCAGGAAGCUACUGAAACGAUGAAUGAGCGCCACCUUAUACUAUGCCUUUAAAGAAAUUUCUUAUAGCCUAUUUCACCAUUCUCCAAAAACACUGCUCAUAUAAAAAAUUAGAAGUUUCAAUGGAUGUUGGAAUGUUCUAACAUUUUUCCCCUUUUGAUAAACUUUGAUGCAAAGAAGGAACGAAUAGGGCCGGUUUUAUGGCCUUUGCCUGUCUAACUUAACAUCAACACGAAUGUUCUCGUGGAAACUGAACAAGGAUGGAACUUUUCCAGUAAAGGUCCAUGCCACAUGAAAGAGACACUAUGCAGUCACUAAAAUGGUGGGUUCACUCAAUCAUAAGUAUUUAAACCUGCCAGCUAGUGAAGUGGUCAAUCCUUUUGGUACACUUCAAUACAAAGAGUACACGCUAUGCAUUCACUGCGAUGUAUACCAAAUAAGCCUACAAUAAUGCAGGAAACCAUUCAAUGACCACAAAGAACAAAUUAGCAACGACCUAGAGAGAAUAAGUAACGGUUGGUCCCCUUAUUUGUUGGUCAAGAGGUAUGCACCGCGCAUGUUGUUACAUAUUAAACUGCAGCAACACUAAAGAAAAAGGUCCAACAGCUCUAGUAACUGGAAAGAACAAAUUGACUAGUUUCUUCAAGAGAUGAAAUCUCUUCAUAUGCACAUUAACACACAACAGAAAAAAACUCAAAUUUGAUGAGUCAGCCCCGAAAAGAACUUACUGUAUGUCAACUCCACAGCGAAGUGAGAUUCUUCGGGGCCAUAUCCGAGGAAGGCAUUGGAGUAUUUCUCCUCAGGAACGUCCCUUUUCCUCAGCAACUUCAUGCCAAAACAUUCCGUAUAAAAUCUGGCACCAAAUAACGAAUCCACAAGAAAUGAUCACCUUCCGAUUCCAGAGAACCGGUUGACAACAUCUUAGAAGCCUCAAAACACAGAACAGCAAGAACAUGCUUUUCAAGCAACCCAUUUCUCAAAACAACCAAACGAAGCAUUUUUCACCCAUGUCCUCUCUUGGGUCCUAAUAAUCAUCGUUCAUUCUCAUAUUUCGUCCUUAGAAACUGCUUUCCCCAGACACAAUACAGACCAAAAUAGCAAAGGAAAACGCGAUGCGGUGCGUACUUGAUUGUGCGGUCGAGAUCGCCGACGCGGUAGACGACGUGGAGGAGGCGGCGCUUGUCCUUCUUCGGCCACUCCAGGAGCUCAGCAUUCACGGGUGCAGCCUCGGCCAUUUCCAAAAGCUCGCAACGCGCUCUGCUCCCACCGCGAAAAUAAAAAUCAAGAAGCCGUCAUCAGUACCCACAAAAGCUGGAGCGCCACACGAUGAAAUCCGAGACGAAUUACGAGAAUCGAAACGAAGCCCACGAGAGCGAACGGAGCGUAGAUUGCGAAUUCGCGACGCAGAUGAAGGAUCGACCGACAGAACUUCUAGAGAGAGAGGAAGAGCGAGGAAGAGCGAGCGUACCAGAGGGUGGUGAAGAGUGUCGAGUGAUCCAGAAUGAUCGCCGCGAGCGUCAACAUAUAUAGAAAAGUGAGCCAUCCGUCAUCGAGAAUCCCGCUAAAAUGACGGGCUGUCACCCGGCUCCGCGGUGAAUGACGAGAGGAGAUCCCGGGAAGACCGGAAGUGACGGAGAUCUCGGGCUGGAGUAGUUAGGCGAUCGGCCAAUGAGGGGAGGCUGUCAUCUAGCGGAACCGACGGCCGCUGCCUCUCGACACCGAUGGAUUAAGGAAAGUAAGAUUUGACCUACAAGUAGACCUGCCUGAAAGUCAAACCGCAUGGUGAUAUGGAGGACUAAUAUUAUUUAAUAUUUUUUACGGAUACGAUAAAAAAAAGAAAAAUUGGUGAUAUCAUUUUCUGUUUCCGGACUCGAUAGAGGGCGUGUUCAUUCUGGACAAGGAAAAAUUAGGACACUGGAUUUAUUUCUCGGAAAAUUUAGCAGCGUAGGAGUAGUGGAAUCUAGGUUUUGAAUUUUAAGUAGAGGUUUUGGACAGAGUAAUGUCUAGAAAUUCGAAUUUUGCGACUUUUUCUUUUGGUCAAAAAGCAGAGGUGGUCCUCUUUGAUUGAUGGUAGGUGGGGUUGGAGGGUAAGAAAAAAAGGAGUGGAUAGAAAGAUGGACACAGUGUCGUCAAUAGUCCUAAGGAUAAUGAUUUGACAGUAAAGGGUGUUUUGGGUAAAAUUCUACGUCAUUUUAUAAUGGAUAAAAAACCACCAAAUUUUAAUUUUAAAUUUGUAUUUAUAUGACAUUUAUUUUUAGUCAAAAUGCAGUUAAUGAGAAUUAUUAAAAAUCUAUCUACAUAAGAGAAAGUAAAUAGCAUUGACAUGACACUCAUGUGACUUAAUGAAAUAAAACUAUAUUGUAUUUAUUGAAGAAUCAUCUAACAAAAUCUUAACGGAUAAUAAAUAUAUAACAUAAAUACAAAUCUUCAAUUCAAUAAAAAAUUUUGGGUAAAUACAUCACAAUAUGCAUAAUUUAAGAUUUCUUAUGCUAUAAAAAAGUCACGGUUUGUGUAAUUUAGGGUUUUUUUUAUGAUUUUUCCUCUUUAUAAUUUUUUAAAAUUUAUCCCAGUAUAAGAGUAUUUAAGUAAUACAUCUUAAGCAAAUCACAAAUUGCAAUAAAGUUAAAGAUCCAUAUCAACAAUGACCCAAAAAUAGAAAAGAGAGUGAUCUUUAAUGAUUAUAAUUUUUUAUUGCUUGAGUAUCUAUAUCUAUCACAAGAAUCUCUAGGGAAAAAGGUUUGAUAAUUUAUCUUCACAUGGAAAAUUUGAAUCUCAAAAGAUUGAAAAGAUUGUGAUCGAUGGAAACUAAAUAGUAUGAUAUAAUUCGUGAAUGGAAGAAUUAACCAAAUUUGGAUUGAAUAUCCAAGCGUCUUUUAAAGUUACAAUUAUAACUUCACCACAUGUUAAUAAUAAAUGAUACUAGUAUAUGUGAAUAUAUUUCAAAAUGGUUUUUCUUCCGUCGAAUAUAUUUUGAAAUGGCAACUACCAAAAUUUAUUUAGUUUGAUGUAAUUUUUUUUGGUAAGUAAGUUUGACAUGAUUUUUAGAAAAUUGGGAAAAUGAAGGAAGAAUGAAAUGAAAACCUGCUAAAGCUUUAAAGAAUUCAUAAAAGGUAAUUACCGUCGCGUUUUUUCACUCCUUAUAUUCCUCACACUUUUCCUUUUAUAAUGUUCUGACCAUCAUAUCAUUUGCUUUUUCCACGCUUCGCAUGCUUGUACCACACUGAUUCAUGUGGUUUAACAUGCGUGUACCACACUGACUCAUAUGUGGGGUCCAUUUGUUGUCACUCUUUUUAUUUGACUUGUCUCUUGUCGUUUUUUUUUUUUUUGUGUGGAUAAAAUGCAAAUUAUUAUCCCUUGCAUAAUUAUUUUUAUUUUAUUUAGUUGCAUUUUUGUAUUUGUAACGAACAAUUAGGUAGUUUAAUUCUUUCUUUAUGAAAUACAGAGUUCACCAUGGGAAUUAUCACGUGUGGAUUGGAGAGUCAUUUUUUCUUCUUGAACGCAGAAAUCCUUCUUUGCCUUAUAGUAGUAUAGAUAUAGAUAAAUCAAUGGGAGAGAUGAUAUGAUUUCAAUCCUUGGGUUUUAUUAUAGUUUAUGAAUUAAAAUUAAGUUAAAUAGAAUUUAUUCACAUAAUGUAGCUAUGCAUAUUUUGGUUUUGGAAAUUGUAAUUGCAAAUUUAAGUGGAUAACAUAAUAUCACGAGUUACAUUGACAAUCUAUGUCAACAUAUAUUCGGCGUUAACCAUUGCAAUUUAAAUUAACUAAAUAUACCUAUAAAAUUCUUAAAGCAUAUAUCUAAAUAGUGUUAGCAAGCCUAUUACCGGCCUUGCACCGCCCAAACCUGCCAAAAUCCUCACCACCUAUUUCUUGUCGGAAAGUGCCGGCCUAGUGGGUGCCCGACGAGGAGGCAAGGCCCUACGUCCGAUGCCCAUCCCUAGCCAAGCCUUGGUGGGAUCAAUGUUCUCCAACCUGUCUCGCACCCCUAACUCCUUCCCCGUUUGUGCACCUUUGAAGCUCUUUCUGCUUGCUCAAAAAAAAAAAAAAAACUCUUUCUGCAUUCUCACCUGCACAAUUAUGCGCAAUGCCUUACAGCACUUAAAAGGAACUUUGAAAUCAAUCAUAAAAUAUUAACUACGAAAAUCUAACAAGAGAUUAACAAACAUCAAAUCUAGAGUUUUAGCUUUCUUGCAAUGAAUAAUUAACAAUAUCAACAUAAUUGUAUGCAAAAUCCAAGAAAAACAACUAUUUUGAUAUUUUUUUCUCAAAUUAUACAUAAUUGAUUGGAGGAAAAAUUAUCCAAAAAGUCAUAAACUUAUUGUACAUAUGACAAAUCAGUCUUAAAUCUUUAUAUUAUGCCAAUUUAAUCCUAAAUCUUUUAUCAAUUUACCAAUUUAGUUAUAGACCCUUCAUUGUAUUAAUAUAGUCAUAAACAUUUUGACGAUUUGUUGGUAUAGUUUUUCCAGCCAAAUAUCCAUAUAAUAGGUUUGGUGCUUGUAAGACAUGUCUUCGAAGAAAAUAAACUUUGUAUCCCCCAAUCGCUGGCUUGUAUGUUUGGUUCUUGUAAGACAUGACUCCGAAUUAGAAAAGACUUUUUGGAAACCAAGGAAAAAGAGUAAGCAAUAAUAGAGAAUCAUCUACAGUAGGGGUGUCAAAAAAACCCGACACGAUCCGAACACAAAACAAGAAUACUUGUUUCUGUUCGGGUCAUGUUCAGAUAACAAAUAUAAAACAAACAAAACAAUGUGUUUUGGGUUGGGUCAGGAUUCGAACAUUGUUCGACCCGAAACACGUUAAUUCCAAACACGCCAAAAUCACAAACCCCAAACAGUCAAACACAAACACAUACCUCGUCGGCUCCGCCUUCUUCUCCGACGAGUGCACCUUCUCGUGGAGUCCGCUGCCGCCCUCUGAUCGACGCGCCUCCGCCUCGUCGUCGCCGUUGCCACCCCUCGCCUCCGCCUCGCCGACGCCGGAACCCUAGCCGCCGCGUGCGGCCGACCAUCAUCGACGGCUCAGGGACUGGGUUCGCUCGGCGAUCAUGGCACUCGCUUCUCGGCUCGUUUCCAAGUUUAGAUGUAUAUUUGCUUGAGGCUUGAGCUAAGACACCGGAUUUACCGGUUGUUCCUUUUCUUUUCGAGCUGCGAGGGUGAUUGUUCUUUCGCGUUGUGUGCAGACUCUGUGUUUGCUUCAAUUCCCGAGUGAACUGCGGCGUACAGUUUUUGAGCGAUCGUGACACUUAAGUUAGCGGGUUCCCGUGUCGGCGUAUCUCGCGAAGCUUGCUCGCAUCUCCGUGAAACCAUACUGAAGUGAGGAUCAUCCACGGGACAUGAUGGGUUUGGAGGUUGAAACGCUUGAGGAGAGAUUGAAGUCUUCCUUGGUCCAGCUUCAUGCGGAAGGUGCCAUUCUUGAAAGGAUGGUGUACAAAAACAAGAACCAGCAUAGGCGUUGGUCCUAUUUCCAGUAUCUUUUGAAGGUUCCUUUUUUCGCCCACCGUUUGACUGGUGUCAUGACUCAUGACCUACUUUUGAGCUUUUUAAAAUUAGUCAAAAAGGCAUUGGAAUCUGAGAGAUGUCUUAUUUGAAAAGGUGAGAGGGAAAGAUUGAAGUUUAGAUGAAUAGCCGAUGAAGGAUUCGUGGAUCUUAAGUGUUUACUGGUGGUUUUGUUUAUGCAGCUUAAAAGUUUUAAACCAGUGCAAUCAGCAAAAGAUUGCGUCAUUUUUUUUGAGGUCGGGAAGCAGAAAUUGGAUUUGGCAAAAUUUUACCCCUCUCUUGGAAAUGUAAAAAAUUUGGGGCCAGAGUGAUUAAGGUGAAAGCUAGCCCUCUCAACUGAUUGUUAUUAGUGUUCUUUCCGGUACCUUUUCUUUUUACCGUCGUAUGUAUGGCCUGGCCGAGGUUUUUCAUUCCAGCGAUUCCUGGGUUGGCAGGGAAGAGGUUCCUUUUAGGGCUCGUUUUAUUUCAACUCAAGUGGGUAAGAGUCAUGUUAUCUUAAUUUCUCACGAAUUCAUCUUUUAAUGCUUUCUUAUUCAAGUUUCCUUCCAGUGAGCUGAGAAUUGACCAUUUGCAUUUGUGGAAAUACCUGAUCCUGUGUUUUUUCUCUGUGCAGUAAGGAACAGAUAGAAAAAAAGGGAGGUGAAAAAAAAAAAAAGUGACAACCCAGAACCCGACCCGAACCGACCUAAAUUUCCAAUGCGAGUUUAAUGUGUUUCGCGUCCGGUUCGGGUCGGGUCGGGUCAAACUAUGUGACCCUUAUGUUUCGGGUUGGGUCGGGUAACAUCAAAACCCGACCCGACCCGACCCAUUUACACCCCUACUACAUAGUGCUUUUAGGUGACAUUCACAUGAUAUAGUCUCCUUGCACAACAAAUAUUUGGAACCUUGAGUUUUGUCAUGUCUGUGACUGCAUCUAAAUAUAAGAUAAGAGAAAAUGAUACAAAUAGUCCUCAAAUUUUGACCUAAUUUACAAUGUAACCCUUGAACUUUUUAUUUGCUUAGCGUAGUCCAUGAACUUUAGCCCAAUUUGCAAUGCGAUUCUUGAAUUUUUAAUUUGUUCAAUGUAGUCCAUGAACUUUUGGUACAUAUUUAAUUUAGUGUAUGGUAUGAAAAUAAUCAAUGUUGUCCCUAAUUUUCAAUUAAUGGAAUGACUAUAUUGAAUAUUUUAUAUAGUUUAGGGAUCACAAUGAAUAUUAGGUUAAAGUUCAAGGAUGGUAUUGAACAAAUUAAAAAUUUAACGACGACAUUGCAUAUUAGACCAAAGUUCAUGGAUCAUUAUCCCCUAAGAAGACAACUACAAGCUCAUGCACCGCGUAGCACACCAAUCAGCAACCUUUCUCUCACCUUUGUCAAGCCCUUUAAGCAAUAAUUGACUGCUCAUUACUCAUUAGUAUGAGCAAGAGGGCCUGAGCUUCUGUUAUGAUACCUUUAAACUCUCUAGGCCCUGUGUACCAAAAGAGGCCUUGCUCUUACAAGGCUUGAGCUUUGGCCCCCAAUCAAGCGACCAAUUUGGGCUGCCGUUAUUUAGAUCCGGAGCUAUUUCCAUAUCCCUGUGCAGUGACAUUUCGAUUACCAAGUCGGGGAAUGUAGCACAAACUAUUUUUGUCUACAUCAGCAUUAAUUACGCCACAUUGGACAACUGAUGUUUAGGUCAGUAAUAUCCGAUCGAAAUUAGUUGGAAUGACUAAAUUGACAAUUUCUUAGAAGGUUUAGAAUUAAAUAAGUACAAUUAAAAAGUUUAGUAUUAAAUUGACUAUAAAAGAAUUUAGAAUUUUCACCCAUGUCCUCUCUUGGGUCCUGAUAACCAUCGUCCAUUUCCCCAGACGCAAUACAGACCACAAUAGCAAAGGAAAACGCAAUGCGGUGCGUACUUGAUCGCGCAGUUGAGGUCGCCGGCGCGAUAGACGGCGUGAAGGAAGCGGUGCGUGUCCUUCUUCGGCCACUCCAGGAGCUUAGCAUUCACGGGUGCAGCCUCGGUCGUUUCCAAAAGCUUGCGAAGCGCUCUGCUUCCAACGGGAAAAAGUCAAGAAGCCAUCAUUAGUACCCACAAAAGCUCGAGCGCCACACGAUAAAAUCCGAAACGAAUUACGAGAAUCGAAACGAAGCCCAUGAGAGUAAACGGACCGUAGAUUGCGAAUUCGCGAAGUAGAUGAAGGAUCGAUCGACAAAGUCUCGAUCAAGAGAGAGAGGGAGAGCGAGCGCACCAGAGGGUGAAGAAGAGUGUUGAGUGACCUAGAAUGAUGGUUGAUAUAGUCAUCCGUAAUCAGGACCUGGACAAGUCCUUAAAUUGUCCCAUUUAUCGGAGUCAACCCCAAACGUAAAAUGGGGUAAUGAUAAACCUCUAGGCUAAAUUAACCAAAAUGGGAAAUUCCCCCAGGCCUGAUCCUCACGAGGCCCGGUAUGCAAUCAACAAGAUGCAGGGUUCAGGAGGCCUUACAAGGAAAUGCUAGCAACCGGUUAAUCAGGACCUGGACAGGUUUUAAACUGUCCCAUUUAUCGGAGUCAACCUCAAACAUAAAAUUGGGUAAUUAUAAAUCUCGGUUAAAUUAACCAUAAUGGGAAAUUCAGAAUCCACUAAAACUACAGGCUGUCACCCAGUUUCGCAGCGAAUGACGCACGGAGAUCCCGGGGAGACCGCCAGGCGACGAGGAUCUCGGGCUAGAGUGGUUAGGCGACUGGCCAAAUGAGAGGAGGCUGUCAUCUAGUGUAACCGACAGCCGCUGCCUCUUGACACCGGGGGAUUAAGGAAAGUAAGAUUUGACCUACGGGUGGACCUGCCUCCAAGUCCAACCGCAUGGUGACAUUGAAGACUAAACUUAAUUAUCUUUUUUUUACAGAUACGAGAAAUUAAUUAUUAUUUUUUGGCAACAUUGCUUUUAUUUCUGGACUCGAUAGAGAACGAUGUUCAUUCGGGACUAGGAAAAAUAAGGACGCCGGAUUUAUUUUUCGGAAAAAUCAAGCACACGUAGGAAUGAGCUAUAGGUUUUGAAUUUUAAGCAGAGGUUUUGAACAGAGUAAUGUCUAGAAAUUCAAAUUUUGCGACUUUAUUUUUUUGGUAAAAAAAAGCAGAGGUGGUCCUCUCUGAUCGAUGGUAGGUUGGGGUCGGAGGGCAAGGACAAAAGGAGUGGAUAGAAAGGUGGACACAGUGUUAUAAAUAGUGCAAAGGAAAAUGAUUGACAGUGAAUGGUGUCUUGGUUGAAAUUCCAGCAUCCAUUUGUAACGGGCAAAAACCACCAACGAGGCGGAGAUGCGACAGGAUAGUUCCUUGGGCCAGGAAUAGAUGUUGGAGUGAGGCGCUCACUUGGACCAGGAAAUUCCUCAUGGGGAAGGAUUUUUACCACAGGAUAGUUCGAUUCUCUUUCGGUGCUUUGUGCUAUCUCAUUUGGAAGAAGAGGAAUGCGAUUAUCUUCGGGGGUGAAUCCUUGGUGGUCCCUACCCUUAAAAAUCACCUAAUAAACGUGGUUAAGGACAAAGCACUCACAUUCACGGAAGUUCUUCCUUCUCCGAGGAACAGAAGACUGCAAAGGGGGUGGGGAUUCCACCCCAUGAUCUUUUCAUCUGUAGCUAUUCCUCCUUAGGUUGCUGGUGAUUCGGUCUGCUCUUGUUCUUGUAGUUACAGCUUCCUUCCUCCUCCGUUCUCCGCUUUCAGCUUUGAGGGCUUGAGGGAUGGGGAGGCUACGGGUUCCUGUUGUUACGGCUUGUUUGUUCGCUUCAUAGCUUUUGUGUUCUUGCUGGCGCCCUCGGGCUUUUUAUCGGAUCCCCGUCACUCUUGCUCCUUUGUUAAGAGUGCUUGUUUGGAUCCGAUCUUUUGUACUUUUGUCCUCCUCAUUAAUAUUAUUACCUUUACCAAAAAAGAAAACCACCAAAGACCAACGUCUGUUUCUCUGAAGACUUUAGGACGUCCUGUUUGAUAACCAUCUUAAUAGUGACGGGUUUUGAUUUUUUAUUCCCGGAAGUAAUUUUGGAACAUAAUCAUAUUUGGUAAAAAAAUUAUUCCCAGAAACAAUUUUCUAUUUUUUUUAUUCCCGAAAGUAGAUUUAAAAUAGAAUUAAGAAUUAAAAAAAAAAAGGUUGAUUUUUGUUCCCGGAAACAAAUCUAAGAAUCAAGCCCUUUUUUUUUUUCUUAUUCUUCCAUUUUUCUCUUUUUAUUCUUCCCUUUUUUUUCUUUUUCAUCUACCGCCAUUGCUACAUUUGCUGUCCUCCGCCCACUACCGCUAGUUGCCGGCAACCGGUUUGGCGAGCUCGCCGGAGACAAGCUCAACCACCAGCAAGGCCAAGCCUUGACAGGGCUAGGCGAGUCUUGCGAUCUAGCGAGAUCGAGCCUCACCUGUGGCCGGGUGGGCCUCAUCGGGGUUGGGUGAGGUCCGCCUCGCCACCAACGGCGAGGCUUGCCCAGCCAUCGGCAAGGCUCGAUCGACGAGGGCCGAUGUCACCAAGGGCCGACAACACUCCGGUGAGGCCACUGGCCCUCAUCUGGCCAAUCGCCAGACCAGCAACCAGCUACCUGAAGAAGAAGAAUAGGAGAGAGAAAUGAAAAAAAAAAUGAAAAAACUAAAAAAAUUAUUUAAAAAUUAAAAUAAAAUUAUUUAGAGUAAAAAUUUUGAGCACGGUAUCAAAUACAAUUCUAUUCCAAAAUAAAAAAUUUUGAAUAGUUACCAAACGGCUUAAAAUGCUUAGAAAUUAUUCUUAGGAACAGAAUAAAAAAAUAAUCAUUUUUGAUCAGAAAUUGUUCUCGGAAACAGAAUCGUUACCAAACACGUCAUUAACAUUCAAGUGAAAGGGAUUUUGAGGGGCACAAUACACAACGUUUUAUUUAUAUCAGACGAAAAGACUACGCAUCUGCUCAGCGCAUUGAACACUCACACCGUCACAAGAUUCUUACUGCAGUUCCUUCAGGAAGUCUUCAUUGUCAACCAGGACCUACAAGCAAAAAGUCUUAAGGAUCACAACGAAGUCGCCAUGAAAGGGAAAUAGAAUAUAAAUACAUCGCAUACUAGUUGAAAGAACUGAUGCUGCCAUAUUUAUGUCUAUUCGCAACGUAUGUGAUGUGAGGUCUUUGGGAAAUGAUUUCCAUUAUUGCUGAAGACAAAAUGGGUAGCCUUCUCUGGUGGAGUGUAGACACAAUGAUUUCAGGUGUAUACCCGUGUUGUGUGCUUUAUACUUCCCUUUCAUUUCCGUGCAAAACAAUAAUCAUAUGCACUACACAGGUCCCUCAUCUUCCAAGGCAAAGAUGCAAUAAAGCAGUUCUCUUUUUUUCUUUUUUUUUUCCUUAAGUGACUCAACUCAAAUACAUGCAUUGCCAGUUCUAUACACGUUACUCCUCAAAAAUAUGGCCAUUAACUUUAUCUUCAUCUUAAGCAGAGAUACAAUACUGCGUUCCUGCUCAUUCCCAUGAAUAAAGAGGUUUGAAAUUCAUAAAGCAUAAACUUACGGUUUUCCAACCAUCUGGAUCUAGGAAAGAGGUAAUUUUGGUGUUGAUCCCAGGAAGUGGUCCUGGCUGUCUAGUUAUUUUCCCACCAAGCUCUUCAAUAACCAGCUUAACCACCUCACCACUCUUGUAGACAUCGUCAGUGCUGAUGGCGAGCUAGAAUCGAGAGCAAACAUUCUUUAGCGAGUGAAAGCGAGAGAUCUAAAUUACAUUGCAUUUACAGCAAGCAAAAGUAAACAGACUAACUUGUGCAUAUGCAUUGCCCUUGGUAUACUCAGUAACAUCAUAGUUAUAGGUGAGCUCCAGCACAUUUGUCUCAUUCCCUCCAGCAUAACCCAUAAUGGCCAAGGUGUACUGUCAUAUUUCAUGUAACAUUAUGAGAGUGGAAUAAUCUUAAAACACAUAGGGAACCAACAUGUGGUCCAAUGCAACCUUCACAAAUGAUACCAUAUGCUUAUG
RNAcentral lists this long non-coding RNA (12307 nucleotides) under Eucalyptus grandis. Its description in RNAcentral is "long non-coding RNA (EGRA_LNC002331)". Lineage: Eukaryota; Viridiplantae; Streptophyta; Magnoliopsida; Myrtales; Myrtaceae. The record is from RNAcentral.